AUACGGAGGGUGCGAGCGUUGUUCGGAAUUAUUGGGCGUAAAGAGCAUGUAGGCGGUCUGUUAAGUCUGGUGUGAAAGCCCGGGGCUCAACCCCGGAAGUGCAUUGGAUACUGGCAGACUCGAGUAUGGGAGAGGAAAGCGGAAUUCCGAGUGUAGGAGUGAAAUCCGUAGAUAUUCGGAGGAACACCAGUGGCGAAGGCGGCUUUCUGGACCAAUACUGACGCUGAGAUGCGAAAGCGUGGGGAGCGAACAGGAUUAGAAACCCGGGUAGUCC
This 274-nucleotide ribosomal RNA is filed under the name uncultured bacterium. RNAcentral's name for it is "partial 16S ribosomal RNA". It matches the Rfam family "Bacterial small subunit ribosomal RNA", at positions 523 to 796 of the family's 1533-position model. The record is from RNAcentral.